This is a long non-coding RNA of Ailuropoda melanoleuca (giant panda), 953 nucleotides long. RefSeq lists it as uncharacterized. Lineage: Eukaryota; Metazoa; Chordata; Mammalia; Carnivora; Ursidae. The record is from RefSeq and is a predicted model, not a curated record. The transcript is spliced from 3 exons.
CAAAAUAAAUAAGUAAAUCUUUUUUAAAAAAUUAUACAAGGGGUGGGGAGGCAGAGAGUUAAAAUGAGGCCAGGGGAAAGAAAUAGAUCCGUAAAGCAAAUAUGGAUUUUACGAAAAAUAGACAAUGUCAGAGGACAGCUCUGUCUGUGAGCUCGGGAAGCCUGGGAAGGACGGAGAAGAAUUGUGUGGUGGGAUCAGAUGGGCUCUAGGCCCUGCAGCGCUGAAAGGGAAAGCGGGUAGGGGACAGGACUUAGCCGCCCCCAUCCUUCGCCCUCCAUCUUUGGGGGCUCUGUGGCAGCGUUUCAUCGCUUCAGACAACAGGAUUUGUACUAUUUGCUUAAAAAUCCCUUUUUGUUUUUUCCAGCACACGGGCAUCUCUGUGUUGGUACGAAGCUGGAGAUGUAGUCAAUGUAUUUCCGAAAAAGUGAUGACUGUUAUUCCCUGGAACGCUGGAACUAGCCAGUGACCUAACACAGUGCCUUGCCCUUGGCAAGCUCUCCAUAAACGCAUGUCAAAAAAGUAGACAAAUAAGAGUGGCAGUCUUCUCCAAUCAAGAUCCCUUAAAGAGAGGUAACUUUCCAAUCUUCUCUUUGCCCCGAAAGCGACUGCGAAAUCUCUUGAACGGUGGGCACCAGGCCGCAGGCCUCGCUCCCCGCCCCCCUCGACCCCCCGCCCGGGAGCCGCCACCGCACGCCGCAGUCGGGAACAGCAGCCCCAAGUUCGGCGGGAGAGGUGACAACGUGUUGACCGUUGCAGGACUCCGGGAACGAGAGGUCGUCUCUCGGGCUUGAAAUCCACUCGGGCGGUGAGGCGAGGCGCGACUCCAGAGCGCGCUCUAAGCAGGAGCGGCCGCCCGGGGCCAGGGGUCAGCCGUGCCCCGCGGCGCGGAGGGGGCCUCCGGAGGGAGAGGGCGCGGCGCCCCGCGCGCCCCCCAGCUGCCCGGGAACGCCCGC